This 463-nucleotide ribosomal RNA is filed under the name uncultured bacterium. Its description in RNAcentral is "bacterial SSU rRNA". It matches the Rfam family "Bacterial small subunit ribosomal RNA", at positions 917 to 1382 of the family's 1533-position model. The record is from RNAcentral.
GGGCCCGCACAAGCAGUGGAGUAUGUGGUUUAAUUCGAAGCAACGCGAAGAACCUUACCAGGGCUUGACAUACCGAUGACCGCUCUAGAGAUAGGGCCUCCCUUCGGGGCAUCGGAUACAGGUGGUGCAUGGUUGUCGUCAGCUCGUGUCGUGAGAUGUUGGGUUAAGUCCCGCAACGAGCGCAACCCCUGUUGUUAGUUGCCAUCAUUUAGUUGGGCACUCUAACAAGACUGCCGGUGACAAAUCGGAGGAAGGUGGGGAUGACGUCAAAUCAUCAUGCCCCUUAUGUCCUGGGCUACACACGUACUACAAUGGCGACCACAGAGGGAAGCAAGACCGCGAGGUGGAGCAAAUCCCCAAAAGUCGUCCCAGUUCAGAUUGCAGGCUGCAACUCGCCUGCAUGAAGUCGGAAUUGCUAGUAAUGGCAGGUCAGCAUACUGCCGUGAAUACGUUCCCGGGCCUU